This 500-nucleotide ribosomal RNA is filed under the name uncultured bacterium. RNAcentral describes it as "partial 16S ribosomal RNA". It matches the Rfam family "Bacterial small subunit ribosomal RNA", at positions 30 to 523 of the family's 1533-position model. The record is from RNAcentral.
AUUGAACGCUGGCGGAAUGCUUUACACAUGCAAGUCGAACGGCAGCACGGACUUCGGUCUGGUGGCGAGUGGCGAACGGGUGAGUAAUGUAUCGGAACGUGCCCAGUCGUGGGGGAUAACGUAGUGAAAAUUACGCUAAUACCGCAUACGAUCUAUGGAUGAAAGCGGGGGAUCGCAAGACCUCGCGCGAUUGGAGCGGCCGAUAGCAGAUUAGGUAGUUGGUGGGGUAAAGGCCCACCAAGCCAACGCUCUGUAGCUGGUCUGAGAGGACGACCAGCCACACUGGAACUGAGACACGGUCCAGACUCCUACGGGAGGCAGCAGUGGGGAAUUUUGGACAAUGGGCGAAAGCCUGAUCCAGCCAUUCCGCGUGCAGGAUGAAGGCCCUCGGGUUGUAAACUGCUUUUGUACAGAACGAAAAGGUUUCUACUAAUACUAGGAGCUCAUGACGGUACUGCAAGAAUAAGCACCGGCUAACUACGUGCCAGCCGCCGCAGUAA